This 484-nucleotide ribosomal RNA is filed under the name uncultured bacterium. RNAcentral's name for it is "partial 16S ribosomal RNA". It matches the Rfam family "Bacterial small subunit ribosomal RNA", at positions 30 to 507 of the family's 1533-position model. The record is from RNAcentral.
AUUGAACGCUGGCGGCAGGCCUAACACAUGCAAGUCGAGCGGAUGAAGGGAGCUUGCUCCUGGAUUCAGCGGCGGACGGGUGAGUAAUGCCUAGGAAUCUGCCUGGUAGUGGGGGAUAACGUCCGGAAACGGGCGCUAAUACCGCAUACGUCCUGAGGGAGAAAGUGGGGGAUCUUCGGACCUCACGCUAUCAGAUGAGCCUAGGUCGGAUUAGCUAGUUGGUGGGGUAAAGGCCUACCAAGGCGACGAUCCGUAACUGGUCUGAGGGGAUGAUCAGUCACAAUGGAACUGAGACACGGUCCAGACGCCUACGGGAGGCAGCAGUGGGGAAUAUUGGACAAUGGGCGAAAGCCUGAUCCAGCCAUGCCGCGUGUUUGAAGAAGGUCUUCGGAUUGUAAAGCACUUUAAGUUGGGGGGAAGGGCAGUAAGUUAAUACCUUGCUGUUUUGACGUUACCAACAGAAUAAGCACCGGCUAACUUCGUG